CAGCAGCCACGGGAAUACAGAGGGUGCGAGCGUUAAUCGGAUUUACUGGGCGUAAAGCGUGCGUAGGCGGCUUUUUAAGUCGGAUGUGUAAUCCCCGAGCUUAACUUGGGAAUUGCAUUCGAUACUGGGAAGCUAGAGUAUGGGAGAGGGUGGUAGAAUUCCAGGUGUAGCGGUGAAAUGCGUAGAGAUCUGGAGGAAUACCGAUGGCGAAGGCAGCCAUCUGGCCUAAUACUGACGCUGAGGUACGAAAGCAUGGGGAGCAAACAGGAUUAGAGACCCCGGUAGUCCCUGUCUCUUAUAC
Molecule: ribosomal RNA, 301 nt
Filed under: uncultured bacterium
Lineage: Bacteria
Description: partial 16S ribosomal RNA
Rfam family: Bacterial small subunit ribosomal RNA
Source: RNAcentral